UUUAAUAUAUAAUUAAUUAAAUUAUAUAACUAAUAAAAUAAAUAUAAUAUUAUAUUAUAAAUAAUUAAUAUUAAUAUAAUUUUUAUAAUUAUAUUUAUAUAAAUUUAAUAAAUAAUUAAAUUAAUAAAAUAUAAUAUAAUAUUAAUUAAAUAAAAAUAAAAAUUAAAAGUGCGGAAUACCGCACUUGAAAUGUGCGGUAAUACAUUACCGCACUUUAAAAGUGCGGUAAUGUACAGAAAUGUUUUUUUUUUUUUUUUUUUUUUUCUACCGCACUCUAUGAGGGCGGUAAGGUCUACCGCGCUUUUAAAGCGCGGUAGAGUCCAUUUUCACCCUGGUUUCGGAAAAAAAAAUUUCUGAACCAAGGUUUGAGAAUUUUUUUUUUUUUUCAACUUGAAUAAGUAAAAAGCCCA
This 410-nucleotide long non-coding RNA is filed under the name Manihot esculenta (cassava). Its description in RNAcentral is "long non-coding RNA (MESC_LNC001981)". Lineage: Eukaryota; Viridiplantae; Streptophyta; Magnoliopsida; Malpighiales; Euphorbiaceae. The record is from RNAcentral.